GAUCCUGGCUCAGGAUGAACNCUGACAGAAUGCUUAACACAUGCAAGUCUACUUGAAUUUGGGUUUUUUAACUUAGAUUUGGGUGGCGGACGGGUGAGUAACGCGUAAAGAACUUGCCUCACAGCUAGGGACAACAUUUGGAAACGAAUGCUAAUACCUGAUAUUAUGAUUUUAAGGCAUCUUAGAAUUAUGAAAGCUAUACGCGCUGUGAGAGAGCUUUGCGUCCCAUUAGCUAGUUGGAG
Molecule: ribosomal RNA, 242 nt
Filed under: uncultured bacterium
Lineage: Bacteria
Description: partial 16S ribosomal RNA
Rfam family: Bacterial small subunit ribosomal RNA
Source: RNAcentral